RNAcentral lists this ribosomal RNA (1100 nucleotides) under Lactiplantibacillus plantarum. RNAcentral's name for it is "bacterial SSU rRNA". It matches the Rfam family "Bacterial small subunit ribosomal RNA", at positions 73 to 1146 of the family's 1533-position model. The record is from RNAcentral. Lineage: Bacteria; Bacillati; Bacillota; Bacilli; Lactobacillales; Lactobacillaceae.
UUGGUGCUUGCAUCAUGAUUUACAUUUGAGUGAGUGGCGAACUGGUGAGUAACACGUGGGAAACCUGCCCAGAAGCGGGGGAUAACACCUGGAAACAGAUGCUAAUACCGCAUAACAACUUGGACCGCAUGGUCCGAGCUUGAAAGAUGGCUUCGGCUAUCACUUUUGGAUGGUCCCGCGGCGUAUUAGCUAGAUGGUGGGGUAACGGCUCACCAUGGCAAUGAUACGUAGCCGACCUGAGAGGGUAAUCGGCCACAUUGGGACUGAGACACGGCCCAAACUCCUACGGGAGGCAGCAGUAGGGAAUCUUCCACAAUGGACGAAAGUCUGAUGGAGCAACGCCGCGUGAGUGAAGAAGGGUUUCGGCUCGUAAAACUCUGUUGUUAAAGAAGAACAUAUCUGAGAGUAACUGUUCAGGUAUUGACGGUAUUUAACCAGAAAGCCACGGCUAACUACGUGCCAGCAGCCGCGGUAAUACGUAGGUGGCAAGCGUUGUCCGGAUUUAUUGGGCGUAAAGCGAGCGCAGGCGGUUUUUUAAGUCUGAUGUGAAAGCCUUCGGCUCAACCGAAGAAGUGCAUCGGAAACUGGGAAACUUGAGUGCAGAAGAGGACAGUGGAACUCCAUGUGUAGCGGUGAAAUGCGUAGAUAUAUGGAAGAACACCAGUGGCGAAGGCGGCUGUCUGGUCUGUAACUGACGCUGAGGCUCGAAAGUAUGGGUAGCAAACAGGAUUAGAUACCCUGGUAGUCCAUACCGUAAACGAUGAAUGCUAAGUGUUUGGAGGGUUUCCGCCCUUCAGUGCUGCAGCUAACGCAUUAAGCAUUCCGCCUGGGGAGUACGGCCGCAAGGCUGAAACUCAAAGGAAUUGACGGGGGCCCGCACAAGCGGUGGAGCAUGUGGUUUAAUUCGAAGCUACGCGAAGAACCUUACCAGGUCUUGACAUACUAUGCAAAUCUAAGAGAUUAGACGUUCCCUUCGGGGACAUGGAUACAGGUGGUGCAUGGUUGUCGUCAGCUCGUGUCGUGAAAUGUUUGGGUUAAGUCCCGGCAACGAGCGCAACCCUUAUUAUCAGUUGCCAGCAUUAAAUUGGGCACCCUGGGUG